RNAcentral lists this signal recognition particle RNA (96 nucleotides) under Atopobium sp. Its description in RNAcentral is "signal recognition particle sRNA small type". It matches the Rfam family "Bacterial small signal recognition particle RNA". Rfam says of the family: The signal recognition particle (SRP) is a universally conserved ribonucleoprotein involved in the co-translational targeting of proteins to membranes. Archaeal SRP consists of a 7S RNA and homologues of the eukaryotic SRP19 and SRP54 proteins. The record is from RNAcentral. Lineage: Bacteria; Bacillati; Actinomycetota; Coriobacteriia; Coriobacteriales; Atopobiaceae.
CUGGCGGGUUCGGGUGGCGCACUGUUCCGAACCUGGUCAGGGCCGGGAGGCAGCAGCCAUAAGGAGCCUCGGGCGGGCACCCGAUCCCGCUAGAUA